UACGUAGGUGGCAAGCGUUGUCCGGAUUUACUGGGCGUAAAGAGCGCGCAGGCGGUCGAAUAAGUCGAAUGUGAAAGCCCCCGGCUUAACUGGGGGGGGUCAUUCGAUACUGUUCGACUUGAAGGCAGGAGAGGGCAGCAGAAUUCCCGGUGUAGUGGUGAAAUGCGUAGAUAUCGGGAGGAAUACCAGUGGCGAAGGCGGCUGCCUGGCCUGUUCUUGACGCUGAGGCGCGAAAGCUGGGGGAGCAAACGGG
RNAcentral lists this ribosomal RNA (253 nucleotides) under uncultured bacterium. RNAcentral describes it as "partial 16S ribosomal RNA". It matches the Rfam family "Bacterial small subunit ribosomal RNA", at positions 524 to 776 of the family's 1533-position model. The record is from RNAcentral.